RNAcentral lists this transfer RNA (98 nucleotides) under Pullulanibacillus camelliae. Its description in RNAcentral is "tRNA-Sec". It matches the Rfam family "Selenocysteine transfer RNA". The record is from RNAcentral. Lineage: Bacteria; Bacillati; Bacillota; Bacilli; Caryophanales; Sporolactobacillaceae.
GGGGCUGGUUGCGUAGCUGGUGCUUGCCUGAGUCUUCAAAACUUUUUGAGAGGCGCGUGUUCGUCUCUGGUCGGUUCGAUUCCGACACAGUCCCGCCA